UGUAAGAACAUCGCGCGCAUAGAAACCAGCGCCCUCUGAUCUUUCGUCAGUUGGGGUUUAGCGCCGCAGACGAACGUUUAUAAACAUAAAAAAUUGCGUUGUUGGAAGGAAUGAUUGCGAAUUAAUUAAAUGAGCGCGUUAGUCGGUAAGAAAUUUCUAAUGUCGUCUUUAAGACAAGAAGUGUUAAAAACGUAUAAACAAAUCUUACGUGCCGGUAAAACGUGGCGCUGGCCGUCCGGUCAAGUCGAUCAGACCGAAGCUCAGAGGAAAUAUAUUAUAUCGGAAGCUAAAGAAUUAUUUCGAAGAAAUAAAUACGUGUCCGAUGAAUCUGCUAUAAAGCAGCAUUUGAUGGAGGCUCGAGCCAGAUUAGAAAUGGCUCUGCACUACAAAAAUCCGUAUCCACGUCCAGUAAACUUGCCUCCGGCAGCAGUGGCUAGUCAUCAAGGAAAGAAAUGGAAAUAUCAAGAAAAAAUAAGAACUCGUUCGAAACCCAUCUAUAUAAAAAGCAUCGAUCCAGAAAGUUAACAUUUGAAAAUCGAUGAGUUUAAUUUCGUCUUUUGUGAAUAAAAAUUCUCAAAUUUUUGGGACGUUUUACGUAUAUAUUCACAAAAUAACCUAACAAAUAGAAAAUUAUGAUGAGAACAUGGCCAACAAAAUAAAUAGAUUUCCAGUACCCAAAAAUGGCGUCGACACG
This is an RNA transcript of Centruroides sculpturatus (bark scorpion), 694 nucleotides long. It is a transcript of the gene named LYR motif-containing protein 1-like, with no coding region annotated. NCBI's taxonomy places the organism in Eukaryota, Metazoa, Arthropoda, Arachnida, Scorpiones, Buthidae. The record is from RefSeq and is a predicted model, not a curated record. The transcript has 4 exons.